GGCAGGAGGGGGAGAGGAGAGCAUGGGGAGGGGAGGAGUAGGAUUUAACAGCCACACCUUCCCCACAACUGCAUACACAUCUUAUAACAUAACCAUGAUCAAAUUACAAAAAGGAAAGACACUGUUGACAACAAAUCAGGUUUAGGACUUUCUUGGUCCUCUGUGUGCUUCAGAGUUUGUUCUGAUCAUUGCUGCAUAGUAAAGAUAAAGGGGAGAUCCAAAAUGAGAAAGGCCUAAAUCCCCACAUGCUCCAUUAAUACAAGAAAAAAAGGAUUCCCAGAUAGGAAACAUAUUUUUCAUUCAGCUUUGGAGCUUAAUUGGUGCAAAUGAACACACAGAUAGUCUCUUGUUCUUCCCCCUUCCCAAUGAGUUGCUUGUCAAUUUUCUUUCGAUUAGUUGAAAACUCAAAGCGGUGACUUCCUAUAUUAACACAUCUUACUUGGAGAAUAAAUAAUUUGAACUCCAGAGGUGCAAAGCUGAAGAGUGGCAGGCUGGCAUCCUGGAAAAUGCUGUGAUGUCUCUCCUGAUGCCUCCACAAGUCCAUGUUGUCUGGAAGCCUUUGCUAAACAGAUCACAAUCGAUUGACUUGAAGCUGGCAUAUUUCCGACUGGGAAUGAUGAGGCCGGACAUCUGGCUGAAAGCUCUGCCACUCUCCUGAGGCUUGUGGGGCUUCUGACCUGAGGAUUACAAUAAGAAGGACAUGACAUGACACAAGAUAGCUUCAACAGCAAAUCAGUCCAAAUUGUAAGGACUAUAUGGGAACUGUAGUUCAAAACAUCAGGAGGGCAUUAAUUUGAGGAAGGCUGAAAGGACAGAACAUGUUUUCUUAUCCGACUCCCUUGAACACUGCUUCAGUGUGUACCAGUGGAGUAUAGAACACACUCUGCUUGGAUGAUAAACAUGCACCAGUGAGAAAAUUAAGAGAAGUCUCCACCAAAUAAAUAAAUAAAAUCUGAAAUAAUAACACAUUCUGUACAGAAAA
Long non-coding RNA from Anolis carolinensis (green anole), 982 nucleotides. RefSeq lists it as uncharacterized. NCBI's taxonomy places the organism in Eukaryota, Metazoa, Chordata, Lepidosauria, Squamata, Anolidae. The transcript is spliced from 3 exons. The record is from RefSeq and is a predicted model, not a curated record.